Molecule: long non-coding RNA, 1335 nt
Filed under: Nicotiana benthamiana
Lineage: Eukaryota; Viridiplantae; Streptophyta; Magnoliopsida; Solanales; Solanaceae
Source: RNAcentral
GAUCGCUCAAGAAAGGGGAUUCAGCCCCGGCAAAUGCGAUGCAGUGAAAGACGCUGCGGACUAUGUGGCCGGUGACGUAAAAGAUAUGCCGGCAGCUAGCCAACUCCGCUUUCUAACGAGGUUAAGGCGUGACCUAGAAAACGGAAACAGCGAGACCUGGGGUCUCAUCGAACGAGAAGUUCGAAGAUGACGGUGACGUGAAAGAUAUGCCGGCAGCUAGCCAACUCCGCUUUCUAACGAGGUUAAUGCAUGACCUAGAAAACGGAAACAGCGAGACCUGGGGUCUCAUCGAACGAUAAGUCGUAGAUGAAGACCAGGUUCGGCACGAAAUCAUAAAGGUUUGAGGACCCAUUGGUCAAAGGUAAGGGAAGGUCCUGCUUUCGGGACGGAGCCGUAUGACGCGAGAGUCUCACGUACGGUUCCUUUGAGAAGGGUGUGAUACCACCACCUAUCAGGCCCGACGAGCGGUCCACGGAGCUGCAUCCCUACUCACCUGGUCUAUGCACAUCGCUCUCUCCAGGAGGUUGGCCGCCUAUCCUAGAUCUUCCCAUUUCCAAGAAGAUCCCGGGCUCGAUCUGGUUUAGUAUCAAGGUGAUUCUUUUUCUCUUCCUAUAUAUAUGGGUCCGUGCAGCAUUUCCACGAUAUCGUUAUGAUCAAUUAAUGGGACUUGGCCGGAAUCAGGCUCGGCUAGCGGUCCACGGAGCUGCAUCCUCACCUGGUCUCCAUGCACAUCGCUCUCUCCAGGAGGUUGGCCGCCUAUCCUAGAUCUUCCCAUUUCCAAGAAGAUCCCGGGCUCGAUCUGGUUUAGUAUCAAGGUGAUUCUUUUUCUCUUCCUAUAUAUAUGGGUCCGUGCAGCAUUUCCACGAUAUCGUUAUGAUCAAUUAAUGGGACUUGGCCGGAAAGUGUUCUUGCCUCUAUCAUUAGCUCGGGUAGUCCCCGUUUCUGGUGUUUUAGUCACCUUUCAAUGGCUCCCUUAAUUAUGUGCGAGGAAUUGCCCUAUUGAGUAAUGGGAAGCGGGCUAGUCCCCGAAAAUGCCCCGCCCGUAAGUUCCUUUGUCGUUGGGGAAAAAAAAAUCUCUUUUUAUAUAUUGGUCCGUGUAGCAUUUCCACGAUAUCGUUAUGAUCAAUUAAUUGGACUUGGCCGGAAAGUGUUCUUGCCUCUAUCAUUAGCUCGGGUAGUCCCCGUUUCUGGUGUUUUAGUCACCUUUCAAUGGCUCCCUUAAUUAUGUGCGAGGAAUUGCCCUAUUGAGUAAUGGGAAGCGGGCUAGUCCCCGAAAAUGCCCCGCCCGUAAGUUCCUUUGUCGUUGGGGAAAAAAAAAUCUCUUUUUAUUUUUAG